RNAcentral lists this ribosomal RNA (340 nucleotides) under uncultured bacterium. RNAcentral's name for it is "bacterial SSU rRNA". It matches the Rfam family "Bacterial small subunit ribosomal RNA", at positions 330 to 687 of the family's 1533-position model. The record is from RNAcentral.
AAAACAGCCCUACGGGAGGCAGCAGUGGGGAAUAUUGGACAAUGGGCGCAAGCCUGAUCCAGCAAUGCCGCGUGGAUGAAGAAGGUCUUCGGAUUGUAAAGUUCUUUCGGCGGGGACGAUGAUGACGGUACCCGCAGAAGAAGCCCCGGCUAACUUCGUGCCAGCAGCCGCGGUAAUACGAAGGGGGCUAGCGUUGCUCGGAAUGACUGGGCGUAAAGGGCGCGUAGGCGGAUUGAUUAGUUAGGCGUGAAAUUCCUGGGCUUAACCUGGGGGCUGCGCUUAAUACAGUCAGUCUAGAGUAUGGAAGAGGGUCGUGGAAUUCCCAGUGUAGAGGUGAAAU